RNAcentral lists this transfer RNA (69 nucleotides) under Sphenophryne schlaginhaufeni (Wandolleck's land frog). Its description in RNAcentral is "Liophryne schlaginhaufeni (Wandolleck's land frog) tRNA-Val". The record is from RNAcentral. Lineage: Eukaryota; Metazoa; Chordata; Amphibia; Anura; Microhylidae.
CAAAAUGUAACUUAACAAAAGUACCUUGCUUACACCAUGAACAUGUCCGUGAAACUCUGACCAUUUUGA